UCAACGCGGGAAAUCUUACCGGGUCCGGACACACUGAGGAUUGACAGAUAUAUACCCCGUGAUUUUAUCGCGGGGUUGAAAGAUGCUAGUUCUUUCAUGAUUAUGUGAUAGGUGGUGCAUGGCCGUUCUUAGUUCGUGGAGUGAUCUGUCUGCUUAAUUGCGUAUCAAUAAUAGAGACCUAGUAUACGCGUAGACUCAUGCGGUAGUGACCCCCCUUCACAGGGCGCGUGUCGCACGUAUGUUAUACGCACAGGUCUCCGAUAGCAACGAACGUGACCGUACUCUAUUGUUGCAGCGACAAUACCUUUCAACGGGUAUUACCGCUGCUUAGCAAGAUUCGUCUUGCAUUAAACUAUAGAGACCGCUGUUUCUUCUUUAAACCAGAGGAAGGAUACGGCAAUAACAGGUCUGUGAU
This 415-nucleotide ribosomal RNA is filed under the name Ammonia sp. genotype T6. Its description in RNAcentral is "SSU rRNA". It matches the Rfam family "Eukaryotic small subunit ribosomal RNA", at positions 1200 to 1468 of the family's 1831-position model. Lineage: Eukaryota; Foraminifera; Rotaliida; Rotaliidae. RNAcentral also lists the same sequence under 1 other name. The record is from RNAcentral.